Molecule: ribosomal RNA, 460 nt
Filed under: uncultured bacterium
Lineage: Bacteria
Description: partial 16S ribosomal RNA
Rfam family: Bacterial small subunit ribosomal RNA
Source: RNAcentral
CCUACGGGAGGCAGCAGUGAGGAAUAUUGGUCAAUGGACGAGAGUCUGAACCAGCCAAGUAGCGUGAAGGAUGACUGCCCUCUGUGUUGUAAACUUCUUUUAUAAAGGAAUAAAACGAGGCACGUGUGCCUUUUUGCAUGUACUUUAUGAAUAAGGAUCGGCUAACUCCGUGCCAGCAGCCGCGGUAAUACGGAGGAUCCGAGCGUUUUCCGGAUUUAUUGGGUUUAAAGGGAGCGUAGAUGGGUUGUUAAGUCAGUUGUGAAAGUUUGCGGCUCAACCGUGAAAUUGCAAUUGAUACUGGCAGUCGUGAGUACAGUUGAGGUAGGCGGAAUUCGUGGUGUAGCGGUGAAAUGCUUAGAUAUCACGAAGAACCCCGAUUGCGAAGGCAGCUUACUAAACUGUGACUGACAUUGAUGCUCGAAAGUGUGGGUAUCAAACAGGAUUAGAUACCCCUGUAGUC